CGGCAUGCCUAAGACAUGCAAGUCGUACGAAGCGGCCCACUGAAGUCUGAGUGCUUGCACAAAGAUGGACGUGGAUUACCGCUUAGUGGCAAACGGGUGAGUAACACGUGGGUUACCUGCCUCUAAGUUGGGGAUAACAGUUGGAAACGACUGGUAAUACCGAAUGUGCUCUACGGAGUAAAGAAGCCCUUAAAGCUUCGCUUAGAGAUGGGCCUGCGGCGCAUUAGCUAGUUGGUGAGGUAAUGGCCCACCAAGGCAACGAUGCGUAGCCGAACUGAGAGGUUGAUCGGCCACAUUGGGACUGAGACACGGCCCAGACUCCUACGGGAGACAGCAGUUAGGAAUAUUCGUCAAUGGGGGAAACCCUGAACGAGCAAUGCCGCGUGAGUGAUGACGGUCCUCUGGAUUGUAAAACUCUGUUGUUUAGGAAAAAUUGUACUGAUAGGAAAUGAUCAGUGCUUGAUGGUACUAUUCAAGAAAGCCACGGCUAACUACGUG
This 498-nucleotide ribosomal RNA is filed under the name uncultured bacterium. RNAcentral describes it as "bacterial SSU rRNA". It matches the Rfam family "Bacterial small subunit ribosomal RNA", at positions 40 to 507 of the family's 1533-position model. The record is from RNAcentral.